AUCAUUUAUCUUACUUUUGGCUAAGAUCAAGUGUAGUAUCUGUUCUUAUCAGUUUAAUAUCUGGUACAUCCUCUAUCCGAGGACAAUAUAUUAAAUGGAUUUUUGGAGCAGGGAGUUGGAAUAGGGGCUGGCUCCAUCCACUCCACGCAUCAGCCUGGUAUUUCAGUACUUCCAGGAACAGUGCACCAAAA
RNAcentral lists this small nuclear RNA (191 nucleotides) under Erinaceus europaeus (western European hedgehog). RNAcentral describes it as "U2 spliceosomal RNA". It matches the Rfam family "U2 spliceosomal RNA". Rfam says of the family: U2 is a small nuclear RNA (snRNA) component of the spliceosome (involved in pre-mRNA splicing). Complementary binding between U2 snRNA (in an area lying towards the 5' end but 3' to hairpin I) and the branchpoint sequence (BPS) of the intron results the bulging out of an unpaired adenosine, on the BPS, which initiates a nucleophilic attack at the intronic 5' splice site, thus starting the first of two transesterification reactions that mediate splicing. The record is from Rfam by way of RNAcentral. Lineage: Eukaryota; Metazoa; Chordata; Mammalia; Eulipotyphla; Erinaceidae.